UAGGGGUGCGCAUCGGUCGGUUCGGUUCGGUUUUAGGUGUUAUUGGUUCGGUUUAUCGGUUUUCGGUUUGUAAAUACUUCAAACCGAUAACCAAACCAAUAACAUAUUUCUUAUCGGUUUUUGGUUAAUCGGUUUAUGGUACUUAACGGUUCGGUUUUCGGUUUAACCAAUAAGAAAAUACUCAUAUAUAUUAUAUACACGAUAAGAAAAUUUUCAAAUAAACCAUAUGAUUUUUCCAGCAUUUGGCAUGAAAGUAAUAAUCAUAAAAGUAACAAUCAUUUUUCUUGCAAGUUUAGACAC
This 300-nucleotide long non-coding RNA is filed under the name Solanum tuberosum (potato). Its description in RNAcentral is "long non-coding RNA (STUB_LNC008316)". The record is from RNAcentral. Lineage: Eukaryota; Viridiplantae; Streptophyta; Magnoliopsida; Solanales; Solanaceae.